GCUGGGCGUGGUGGCGCACGCCUGUAAUCCCAGCGACCUGGGAGGCUGAGGCAGGGAAUCGCAAAUUCAAGGUCAGCCUGGGCAAUUUAGGGAGACCCUGUCUCAA
RNAcentral lists this small RNA (106 nucleotides) under Marmota monax (woodchuck). The record is from RNAcentral. Lineage: Eukaryota; Metazoa; Chordata; Mammalia; Rodentia; Sciuridae.